This 585-nucleotide ribosomal RNA is filed under the name uncultured bacterium. Its description in RNAcentral is "partial 16S ribosomal RNA". It matches the Rfam family "Bacterial small subunit ribosomal RNA", at positions 355 to 1376 of the family's 1533-position model. The record is from RNAcentral.
UGGGGAAUUUUGGACAAUGGGGGAAACCCUGAUCCAGCCAUCCCGCGUGUGCGAUGAAGGCCUUCGGGUUGUAAAGCACUUUUGGCAGGAAAGAAACGUCGCGGGUUAAUACCCCGCGAAACUGACGGUACCUGCAGAAUAAGCACCGGCUAACUACGUGCCAGCAGCCGCGGUAAUACGUAGGGUGCAAGCGUUAAUCGGAAUUACUGGGCGUAAAGCGUGCGCAGGCGGUUCGGAAAGAAAGAUGUGAAAUCCCAGAGCUUAACUUUGGAACUGCGUUUUUAACUACCGGGCUAGAGUGUGUCAGAGGGAGGUGGAAUUCCGCGUGUAGCAGUGAAAUGCGUAGAUAUGCAGAGGAACACCGAUGGCGAAGGCAGCCUCCUGGGAUAACACUGACGCUCAUGCACGAAAGCGUGGGGAGCAAACAGGAUUAGAUACCCUGGUAGUCCACGCCCUAAACGAUGUCAACUAGCUGUUGGGGGCCUUCGGGCCUUGGUAGCGCAGCUAACGCGUGAAGUUGACCACCUGGGGAGUACGGUCGCAAGAUUAAAACUCAAUGAAUUGACGGGGUCAUAGUGUUUCCUG